Long non-coding RNA from Peromyscus eremicus (cactus mouse), 406 nucleotides. RefSeq lists it as uncharacterized. Lineage: Eukaryota; Metazoa; Chordata; Mammalia; Rodentia; Cricetidae. The record is from RefSeq and is a predicted model, not a curated record. The transcript is spliced from 3 exons.
UUAUGAGAAAUAUCCUGAUGAAUGGACACAGGUUGGUGUUUCUGUGCUUGUGCACUAAGUUUUCUUUGGACCGAGGGAGACUGUAUCGGGCUUCUCGUUACAGGAUGCUGAGCAAGGGUCACGAAACCCAUUCCAAAGACGGAGAAAGUGAGGAACAAAACACAUGAGUGAAUCCAUAUAAAUCCAUGUAGCACAUGCUAAGGCCAGAAUCUUCACACUUGUACACUGGCCAUUUUCUCCUCCACAGCCCCAAAUGCCCCUAGCUUGGUCUACAGUUCAGUGGUAUAAAGUACCCGUUGUCUUGGAACCAUCACCACCAUCCAUCUCCAGAACACUGUCAUCUUUCCUAAUGGAAACCCAGAGCCAAUUAAACAGUAACUUUCCAUUUCCCCUUCCCCAAGCUCCA